RNAcentral lists this ribosomal RNA (274 nucleotides) under uncultured bacterium. Its description in RNAcentral is "partial 16S ribosomal RNA". It matches the Rfam family "Bacterial small subunit ribosomal RNA", at positions 523 to 796 of the family's 1533-position model. The record is from RNAcentral.
AUACGAAGGGGGCUAGCGUUGUUCGGAAUUACUGGGCGUAAAGCGCGCGUAUGCGGAUUGGUCAGUUAGGGGUGAAAUCCCAGGGCUUAACCCUGGAACUGCCUCUAAUACUGCCAGUCUUGAGUUCGGGAGAGGUGAGUGGAAUUCCUAGUGUAGAGGUGAAAUUCGUAGAUAUUAGGAAGAACACCCGUGGCGAAGGAGGCUCACUGGCCCGAUACUGACGCUGAGGCGCGAAAGCGUGGGGAGCAAACAGAAUUAGAUACCCCAGUAGUCC